AAUCAACGCUGGCGGCGUGCCUCAGACAUGCAAGUCGAACGAUUAAAGCUCCCUUCGGGGAGUGCAUAGAGUGGCGCACGGGUGAGUAACACGUAAGUAAUCUACCUUUGAGUGGGGAAUAACGUUCGGAAACGGACGCUAAUACCGCAUAAUGCAGCGGCAUCGCAAGAUGACAGCUGUUAAAGGAGCAAUCCGCUUAAAGAGGAGCUUGCGGCAGAUUAGCUUGUUGGUAAGGUAACGGCUUACCAAGGCUACGAUCUGCAUCCGGUCUAAGAGGACGGUCGGACACACUGACACUGAAUAACGGGUCAGACUCCUACGGGAGGCAGCAGUCGGGAAUUUUGGCAAUGGGCGAAAGCCUGACCCAGCAACGCCGCGUGAAGGAUGAAGUAUUUCGGUAUGUAAACUUCGAAGAAUAGGAAGAAUAAAUGACGGUACUAUUUAUAAGCUCCGGCUAACUA
RNAcentral lists this ribosomal RNA (461 nucleotides) under uncultured bacterium. RNAcentral describes it as "bacterial SSU rRNA". It matches the Rfam family "Bacterial small subunit ribosomal RNA", at positions 32 to 503 of the family's 1533-position model. The record is from RNAcentral.